AAGAGUCUAAAUUUGAACCUGGCCUUCCAAGUUGUUAUGAACCUAUAUUUGCAAAACAGAGAGAAGAGUCCACAUGGAAUUGGAGGAAGAUUACGUUCCAAGGAAGGGAAGAGAGAGUAGAGAAGCGUCCAGAGAAGUUGAAACAAAUCAUACUGUUCUUACCUGGCCAGUAUACUCAGUUUCACCCCAAUUACACAGCUGUCCUCAAGACACUCCUGUGUAUCCAGAGCUGUGAGGUGAGAGAA
Molecule: long non-coding RNA, 245 nt
Organism: Equus caballus (horse)
Lineage: Eukaryota; Metazoa; Chordata; Mammalia; Perissodactyla; Equidae
Source: RefSeq, a predicted model, not a curated record